AAGCAUUAAGAAAAGGUUGGUCCUUUUAUUAUUCAAGAGAAAAGAGUUUUUGUUAACUAAGUUAAGGUAUAUUUAAGUAAUUUUCGCAUUAUCAGCCUAUCUGGGGAUAUUUGGUGCAAUUCUUCUUGUAAAUUGCUGACACAAUGUUAAUAAUAUUUAGUGAAAACUAUGUAAUAAUCUUUAAAUUGUGUUUUUUUUUUUAAAUUAUGUUACAAAAGAGGUAAACAAAAGUUUGUGAAACAUUCCUUGUGUUUUGCUUAAAUACAAUCUGGUUGGAUAUUAUCAUGAGAUCGGAUUGGAAUGUAUAAGAUUGUAUAAUUGAAUAUUGUACUAAGUUUUGUAUACUCGUGAAAUAAUUAAAUAAGUAACUGAGAUAUAUGCAUACUUUUAUUAUUUUAUUUCCAUUAGUUUACAUGUACCGCCGAAAAAAAAAAUUAUUAUUUCAUAUAUAUUUUAAAUUUUUUUAUACCCAACAAAAUGAACUAACAAUUAAUGUCUCUUCGAGUAUAAUAUACGUAGUUGGUACAGUACAGAACUUUCGAUAUGCACGUAGUUAUUACAAACCGACUCUCGUCUUCGUUGACUUGACAUUUGACAAAAAGACAAUGUGCUUCAUGUUUAAAGCACUUAUGUAGUGUCAAUGUGAAAAGUGCUUUCUCCACACCCCCAGCUUUUAGAAUUUUUUAGGCUUUCGCAAGUCUAUGAGUUGAAUUUUCUUACAUUCACUUUUCUGAACAAUUUCGUGCACCUUGAUGCUCGGUCAAAAAACGAACGUAAAUAGGUUUCCUCUUAAUUAAGGAAGUGGAAUAAGUUGACGAAUUAUAAUAUAGUAAAUUAAGUUUGUCAUCAUUUCUUUUGCAAACAAAUACCCAUUAAAUGAAGAAAAGAUAAAAUCAAUUCACAGUUUAGUGACAUGAUCACAUCUUAUUUUCACAAAAUGGCAUUAUAAUUAAUAUCUCUUCGAGUUUAAUUUACCUAAAGGACCUGGGUAGUGCCAAUCAUGAACAGAGCUUUCGAUAAGAUGUAUAGCGAUUACUUUAUUGUAUGCAAACGAGUGAUCUCUUCUACGUUGACUUGAUACCUGGACAAAGUGCUUCGUAUUAAAAGCGCUUAUGAGUUAACAUGAAAAGUGCUUUGAUUCACACCGAGUACAAUUGUACAAACAGUAUUCCCCUUCAUGAUUAGUGAUUGCUCCUGAACUUUUAGAAUUUAUGAGCUUCGGGACUAUUUUUAUAAGUUGAAUUUUCUUAUCAUUCACUUUUCCAUACACCUUAUUGCUCGGUCAAAAAUUCAAAACAUAAAUAAUUUUCCUCUUUAAUAAAAGGAUGUUGAGUAAGUUGAUCGAGUCAAUUAUGUUUGGCAUAAUUUCUUUUCCAAACAAAUACUUAUAAAUAAGGGGAAAGGAUAGGAAUACCCUCGUGGUUUAGUGAAAUGAUUACAAGUAUUUUUGUUUUCAAUUGCUUUACGGACACAUAAUGAUGCAAAACACUUUUUUUUUAAACAAAUUUUUCAAGUAUGCAUGAAGGUCUCCAUGAACAUGUUAUAAAAACGGAUUUAUGUGAUCAUUUCUGAAAAUAAGAAAGCCUCCAUAACCAUUUUAGCAAUCCCUUUUCCAAUAUACAUAUAUUGAAAUAUAUGUUUUUUAAUUUUAAU
RNAcentral lists this long non-coding RNA (1653 nucleotides) under Citrus x clementina. Its description in RNAcentral is "Citrus clementina (C. clementina) long non-coding RNA (CCLE_LNC004158)". The record is from RNAcentral. Lineage: Eukaryota; Viridiplantae; Streptophyta; Magnoliopsida; Sapindales; Rutaceae.